GGGGCACGCUCAGCAUGAAAAUUGGGGCCUUUGAGCCUGAGUUGUAGUCUUCCGAGGUAUUGCCAACAGAGGCGCUGCUGUAUGUCUCUUGGAAACGAGCAUCAACGAGGGUGAGGGCCCCGCUUGUCAGUAGCAGCCCGCUGUGCACAGUGUACACUCUAAGAGUCACGCUCCUUGGGAUUGGAGCGCAAUGUUGGUGGUAAGCUUCAUCUAAAGCUACAUAUGGGCUCAAGACCGAUAGCAAACAAGUACCAUGAGGGAAAGUUGAAAAGGACUUUGAAAAGAAAGGUAAAAGUGCUUGAAAUUGCUGGAAAGGAAGUGAGCGAAGCCAAAGUGUCUUGGGUGAGGUUGCUGCGUGCUGCCGCCAGUGCUUGCUGUGCCAGCGCAUGCGUGCCAGCGAAUCACGCGCAAGCAGCGCACUGUGCUUCUCACCUUGUCUGUCAAUGUUGCCUCGCGUCUGAGGAAGAUUUCAAGGGCAUGGUAGCUCCCCCAAGGUGUGAAUGUUCUUGUGCGUACUCGUGCGUGGGG
Molecule: ribosomal RNA, 528 nt
Filed under: Peridinium gatunense
Lineage: Eukaryota; Dinophyceae; Peridiniales; Peridiniaceae
Description: LSU rRNA
Rfam family: Eukaryotic large subunit ribosomal RNA
Source: RNAcentral